This 507-nucleotide ribosomal RNA is filed under the name uncultured Glomus. RNAcentral describes it as "SSU rRNA". It matches the Rfam family "Eukaryotic small subunit ribosomal RNA", at positions 569 to 1078 of the family's 1831-position model. The record is from RNAcentral. Lineage: Eukaryota; Fungi; Glomeromycota; Glomeromycetes; Glomerales; Glomeraceae.
AGCAGCCGCGGUAAUUCCAGCUCCAAUAGCGUAUAUUAAAGUUGUUGCAGUUAAAAAGCUCGUAGUUGAAUUUCGGGAUCAAUAUAUCGGUCGUGCCUUGGUACGUACUGGUAUCAUUGGUCUCUCCUUUCUGACGAACCAUGAUGUCAUUAAUUUGGUGUUAUGGGAAGUUAGGACUGUUACUUUGAAAAAAUUAGAGUGUUUAAAGCAGGCUUUAGCUUGAAUACAUUAGCAUGGAAUAAUGAAAUAGGACGUUCGAACCUAUUUUGUUGGUUUCUAGGAUCAACGUAAUGAUUAAUAGGGAUAGUUGGGGGCAUUAGUAUUCAAUUGUCAGAGGUGAAAUUCUUGGAUUUAUUGAAGACUAACUACUGCGAAAGCAUUUGCCAAGGAUGUUUUCAUUAAUCAAGAACGAAAGUUAGGGGAUCGAAGACGAUCAGAUACCGUCGUAGUCUUAACCAUAAACUAUGCCGACUAGGGAUCGGAUGAUGUUAAUUUUUUAAUGACUCA